GACAUGGCUCAGUGUUAGAGCAUCUGCUUGGUACGCCGAAGGUCCCAGGUUCAAUCCCUGGCAUUGCCA
Molecule: transfer RNA, 69 nt
Filed under: Sphaerodactylus townsendi
Lineage: Eukaryota; Metazoa; Chordata; Lepidosauria; Squamata; Sphaerodactylidae
Description: tRNA-Thr
Rfam family: tRNA
About the family: Transfer RNA (tRNA) molecules are approximately 80 nucleotides in length. Their secondary structure includes four short double-helical elements and three loops (D, anti-codon, and T loops).
Source: RNAcentral